GACGAACGCUGGCGGCGUGCCUAAUACAUGCAAGUUGAGCGAUGAAGAUUGGUGCUUGCACCAAUUUGAAGAGCAGCGAACGGGUGAGUAACGCGUGGGGAAUCUGCCUUUGAGCGGGGGACAACAUUUGGAAACGAAUGCUAAUACCGCAUAACAACUUUAAACAUAAGUUUUAAGUUUGAAAGAUGCAAUUGCAUCACUCAAAGAUGAUCUCGCGUUGUAUUAGCUAGUUGGUGAGGUAAAGGCUCACCAAGGCGAUGAUACAUAGCCGACCUGAGAGGGUGAUCGGCCACAUUGGGACUGAGACACGGCCCAAACUCCUACGGGAGGCAGCAGUAGGGAAUCUUCGGCAAUGGACGAAAGUCUGACCGAGCAACGCCGCGUGAGUGAAGAAGGUUGUCGGAUCGUAAAACUCUGUUGGUAGAGAAGAACGUUGGUGAGAGUGGAAAGCUCAUCAAGUGACGGUAACUACCCAGAAAGGGACGGCUAACUACGUG
Molecule: ribosomal RNA, 497 nt
Filed under: uncultured bacterium
Lineage: Bacteria
Description: partial 16S ribosomal RNA
Rfam family: Bacterial small subunit ribosomal RNA
Source: RNAcentral